RNAcentral lists this ribosomal RNA (253 nucleotides) under uncultured bacterium. RNAcentral's name for it is "partial 16S ribosomal RNA". It matches the Rfam family "Bacterial small subunit ribosomal RNA", at positions 524 to 776 of the family's 1533-position model. The record is from RNAcentral.
UACGGGGGGGGCAAGCGUUGUUCGGAAUUACUGGGCGUAAAGGGCGCGUAGGCGGCCGCCUAAGUCAGACGUGAAAUCCCUCGGCUCAACCGGGGAACUGCGUCUGAUACUGGGUGGCUUGAAUCCGGGAGAGGGAUGCGGAAUUCCAGGUGUAGCGGUGAAAUGCGUAGAUAUCUGGAGGAACACCGGUGGCGAAGGCGACAUCCUGGACCGGUAUUGACGCUGAGGCGCGAAAGCCAGGGGAGCAAACGGG